CCUACGGGAGGCAGCAGUGAGGAAUAUUGGUCAAUGGACGAGAGUCUGAACCAGCCAAGUAGCGUGAAGGAUGACUGCCCUAUGGGUUGUAAACUUCUUUUAUAUGGGAAUAAAAUGUUCCACGUGUGGGAUUUUGUAUGUACCAUAUGAAUAAGGAUCGGCUAACUCCGUGCCAGCAGCCGCGGUAAUACUGAGGAUCCGAGCGUUAUCCGGAUUUAUUGGGUUUAAAGGGAGCGUAGGUGGAUUGUUAAGUCAGUUGUGAAAGUUUGCGGCUCAACCGUAAAAUUGCAGUUGAAACUGGCAGUCUUGAGUACAGUAGAGGUGGGCGGAAUUCGUGGUGUAGCGGUGAAAUGCUUAGAUAUCAGGAAGAACUCCGAUGGCGAAGGCAGCUUACUGGACUGCAACUGACACUGAGGCGCGAAAGUGUGGGUAUCAAACAGGAUUAGAUACCCUGGUAGUC
This 460-nucleotide ribosomal RNA is filed under the name uncultured bacterium. RNAcentral's name for it is "partial 16S ribosomal RNA". It matches the Rfam family "Bacterial small subunit ribosomal RNA", at positions 338 to 795 of the family's 1533-position model. The record is from RNAcentral.